ACCAAUAUAUCACUUUUCCGGUGAAUUUUCUGUUCUAUUCCUCGUAAUAAAGAUCCCAUAACUGCAAGUAAACAAAAUUAGAUUUACAAAGUUAACCAACCAAUCAUAUGAUAGUAACCAAAACAACAUAAACAAGUAACCAAUAUAGCUUUAGUCAUUAAACAAAACAUCGUUAAUCAAUAACCAAUCCAGCAUUAGAUAGUAACCAAGACAGCAUUACACAAUAUAAUAGUUAGAAAGCAAUCAAUAAAUCAUUAGACAGUAACCAAGACAGUAUUAUACAGUAAACAGCAUGUUGCAAAAAGGUAACCAAUGUAAACUGGUUACUUAUUAAUGUUGUCUUGGUUAUCUUCAUGCAACAUGUUGGUUACUGUCUAAUACAUUGGUUACUAACCAUGUGCUUACCAAUCAUUAGUCAGAAAUAUUAUGCAGUAACCAAAACAACAUUAGUCAGUAACCCAUUUAGCAUUAUAAAGUAACCAAUACAUCUUUAGACAAUAUAUUGGUUAGACAGUAACCAAAACAUCAUUAGACAGUAACCAAGACAUCAUUAGACAUUAAACAAGACAUACAUAAUACAGUAACCAAGACAGCAUUACACAAUAUAAUAGUUAGACAGCAACCAAUAAAUCAUUAGACAGUAUCCAAGACAGCAUUAUACAGUAAACAGCAUGUUGCAAGAAGGUAACCAAUGUAAAUUGGUUACUUAUUAAUGUUGUCUUGGUUACCUUAAUGCAACAUGCUGGUUACUGUCUAAUACAUUGGUUACCAACCAUGUGCUUACCAAUCAUUAGUCAGAAAUAUUAUGCAGUAACCAAAACAACAUUAGUUAGUAACCCAUUCAGCAUUAUACAGUAACCAAUACAAUGUUGCACUGUAACCAAUACAACUUUAGACAAUAUAUUGGUUAGACAGUAACCAAAACAUCAUUAGACAGUAACCAAGACAUCAUUAGACAGUAAACAAGACACACAUAAUACAGUAACCAAGACAGCAUUAGACAGUAACCAAAACAUCAUAAGACAGUAACCAAGACAUCAUAAGACAGUAACCAAGACAUCAUUAGACAGUAAUCAAGACACUCAUAAGACAGUAACCAAGACAUCAUUAGACAGUAACCAAGACAUCAUAAGACAGUAACCAAUACAUCAUUAGACAGUAACCAAGACACUCAUAAGACAGUAACCAAGACAUCAUUAGACAGUAACCAAGACAUCAUUAGACAAUACCCAAGUCAGUUUUGGUUUCCUUCAUGCAACAUGGUGGUUAUUGUCUAAUGCAUUGGUUACCAAUCAUGUGGUUACCAAGCAUUAAUCAUUAAUAUUAUGCAAUAACCAAUUAAGCAUUAUACAGUAACCAAUUAAACAUUAUACAGUAAACAAUAACAAUAUUUAAAUUAACACACCUUUAAAAUUCGUUGAGUUGGAAUUAUCUUCUGGAUAAGCACUUGAGCUUCAUUCUUAACAGGGACAUCAAAAUCAGAAUCUAAUUGCACUUCGGAAUGUUUGAUAUCACUAUGUAUCACCAAACUACUAUCAUUCUUACUCGAU
This 1550-nucleotide long non-coding RNA is filed under the name Panax ginseng (ginseng). Its description in RNAcentral is "long non-coding RNA (PGIN_LNC008152)". The record is from RNAcentral. Lineage: Eukaryota; Viridiplantae; Streptophyta; Magnoliopsida; Apiales; Araliaceae.